GUAGGGAAUCUUCGGCAAUGGACGAAAGUCUGACCGAGCAACGCCGCGUGAGUGAUGAAGGUUUUCGGAUCGUAAAACUCUGUUGUUAGAGAAGAAUGUUGAUUAGAGUGGAAAAUUAAUCAAGUGACGGUAUCUAACCAGAAAGGGACGGCUAACUACGUGCCAGCAGCCGCGGUAAUACGUAGGUCCCGAGCGUUGUCCGGAUUUAUUGGGCGUAAAGCGAGCGCAGGUGGUUUACUAAGUCUGAUGUAAAAGGCAGUGGCUCAACCAUUGUGUGCAAUGGAAACUGGUAGACUUGAGGGCAGUAGAGGGGAGUGGAAUUCCAUGUGUAGCGGUGAAAUGCGUAGAUAUAUGGAGGAACACCGGUGGCGAAAGCGGCUCUCUGGACAGUCACUGACACUGAGGCUCGAAAGCGUGGGUAGCAAACAGGAUUAGAAACCCCAGUAGUCC
RNAcentral lists this ribosomal RNA (450 nucleotides) under uncultured bacterium. RNAcentral's name for it is "partial 16S ribosomal RNA". It matches the Rfam family "Bacterial small subunit ribosomal RNA", at positions 354 to 796 of the family's 1533-position model. The record is from RNAcentral.